GCGCCCUUAGCUCAGCUGGACAGAGCAUUGGACUUCUAAUCCAACGGUCGCAGGUUCGAAUCCUGCAGGGCGCGC
Molecule: transfer RNA, 75 nt
Filed under: Nonomuraea longicatena
Lineage: Bacteria; Bacillati; Actinomycetota; Actinomycetes; Streptosporangiales; Streptosporangiaceae
Also listed under: 1 other name
Description: tRNA-Arg
Rfam family: tRNA
About the family: Transfer RNA (tRNA) molecules are approximately 80 nucleotides in length. Their secondary structure includes four short double-helical elements and three loops (D, anti-codon, and T loops). Further hydrogen bonds mediate the characteristic L-shaped molecular structure. tRNAs have two regions of fundamental functional importance: the anti-codon, which is responsible for specific mRNA codon recognition, and the 3' end, to which the tRNAs corresponding amino acid is attached (by aminoacyl-tRNA synthetases). tRNAs cope with the degeneracy of the genetic code in two manners: having more than one tRNA (with a specific anti-codon) for a particular amino acid; and 'wobble' base-pairing, i.e. permitting non-standard base-pairing at the 3rd anti-codon position.
Source: RNAcentral